RNAcentral lists this long non-coding RNA (3130 nucleotides) under Sus scrofa (pig). RNAcentral's name for it is "lncRNA (ENSSSCG00000036846.3)". The record is from RNAcentral. Lineage: Eukaryota; Metazoa; Chordata; Mammalia; Artiodactyla; Suidae.
GGCAUAGGUCACUCUUACCAGCAAUGGGGCCGGUUUCCUCUGGUGUUGUUUGCCCAGCUUGUCCUUUAGAGCCAGAAAGAAGAGCUUGUCUUCAAGGGAGGCUUCAUAAGGGUAUUUCCGAUGUAAUUGGGGUUGGCAUGCGGGCAGCUGGGCCUAAUAAAUAGAAACACCCAUUCGGCCUCAUUCAGCUGUCCCUGUGAGCCCCACCGAGCAGGAAAGACUCUCCGGCUUGGCGCUGAGCUGGCUCCUAUCUUAAAAAUUCAUCUAAUGCAAAUGGUUACAUUAAUGCAAAAGGCAAGUCACUGACACUAUAAAUAACUUGAGCUGAGUCCUGCCGACAGUGGGACGUCUGACACCGAACUGCUGCACGGUCCCCAGUGCUGAACGAGAGUGACACAGCCUCAACCAUCACCAAUUCCAGAGCAGAGGCCGGAGAGCGGAGAAGAUUUGAAAGCGCCAUGUGUCGGCUUUGAAGAUGGGGGCAAGGGCCACCAGGCAAGGAGCGCAGGUGCCGCUGGAAACUGGAAAAGGCAGGGGAUGCUUUUCCCUCCUGAGAGUCUGCAGAAGGCACACGAGCCUGCCCCCACCCCGGCGGAGGUCAGCCCGGUGAGACAAGUUCUGCCUUCCGACCUCCAGAACUGUCCCCAGGGGAUGUGCUGCAGAGGGGCCAGGGGGCCCACAGUGAGGACCUCUGCCUUCCAGAGAGCUCACACCUCCAGACUGUGGCCAACACACUCAACCACACAUUCUAGAAGGAGCUCUAGACAUGACCUCUCCAGCGUUUGAAUUCUGAGGUCUACGCAUUUGCUUCAGUGAUGAACUUUUCCUGCGGGGCAGAGAAGAAACACAGAGCCCAUGGGUGGUAGCAGAGCUGAGUGUGUCUGCGGCUUUGGGUCCAGGCUUCCGCUCCUCAGUACGGUACAACCAGAUCCACCAAACUGCUGGUCUUGGUCAAACGCACCCCAGGUGAUGGAGAUGUGGAAAGAGCGUUUCUGAACCUCUGAACAUUAUUCUGCUCCACUUUCAAAAGACAAACAUCGCCUGUAGGACGAGAAUGUGCUUCCUGCCAUCGGGGAUGAUGCUGAUGUGGCAAAGGAGCAGCACAAAGAUCCAUGCCCCGAGGGGGACCUCCAGCAGGAAAGGACAGGCGUGGGAUCCAGCAUGGUACCCUUCUGGUGGGAGCAGCAGCGAAGGCUCCAGCGGGCAGCUCACGGACCCUGGGAAGGACGCAUCCUGCUCCCUCCUCCCCCCGGUAGAACGUCCUUUGGGCCAUGUGACCUGGUGAAUCCCUGUGAAACCAGCACUGAAGCUCCAGAUGACUGGCAAAUGCUGUUUCAAGCGAGCCGGAAGUGUCUUAGCUGCCCGAGCCCCUCUGCUCAGCUUUCGUCCAUCUGCAUUUGUCCUGGCCUCCUUCUCUUCGCUCCCGGUCAGCGCAGAUUGGCCCCCGGUCCCCCUGCACGAUCCCAGGGCGCUGCCCAUAACCUGGGCACUCCCCGCCAGAGUGGUGUCUCCUGCCCAGCCCAGGCCUUGAAGCUGUGCUCUUCUGACGAGCCCCCUUCGCAGGACAGCUGGACGCCCCGCCUUCCGCGGAGACGUCAUGGGGGCGUGGCUGCCCCGCGUUGGUCCGACCAUGGCAGCGAUCCUGGUGAUUUGAAAACCAGUUUUAUUUGUGAAGAUGCCCGAGUUUCCCCACAUUUCCCAAAACAGCGCCUUUCAUUGGGCACGUAAAGCCCAGGAGAGCAGCCCUGGGGAGAAGCACAGCCGAAUUCACAAAACACAGGAUAAACGGCUGCCUCUCAGCUGUGCGACUUCUCGUCGUCUCGCGCAUCCGUUUUCCUGCUGCAAGAACGGGUCCUCGGGCUCUGGUUGGCGAGUCCUGUGUGUGGGCCUGUUACCUGCUGAGCCCUCACUUGGAGACUGCAGAGGUUAGCUCCUCGCUAGACCCCAUCGCAUCCCCGUGAUGUCUCUGCUUUCCAUCAGCCCCCCUGCCUAUUGCGGAUCUUCUUGACACGCAUGCCUUUAUGCCAGCUCCCUCUGAGCCUCACAAAGUGUGCGGCUGGACCAGCAACACCGGGGAGGCACGUCGUGGGUGCUCGAUAAUGAAAAUGCCUGGCCUGUGGCAAAGGGGAGCCAGAGGUCGCCGUCUGGCCCAUCCGGUUGUGUCCGCCACUCCAAGGCUAUCUUCCAGAAUCACAGGUGGUCAGCACCAACCGCUGAACGUACACCCUCCCGAGAACCUUCCAGGGCUCUGCCCUCUCCCCAUCUGUGCCACCCUGGGUCCCCAGGUCCUUUGACUCAAGGCUUUAGCAUUUAAACUGGCAGAUGAUGUAACCGGAGGCUCCCUGGAAAGGGCCCCUCCCUCUAGCUCACCCACCUUAGCUACAGCGUUCAUCAAAAAUGAUUAAUGUUCCAGAGCCCUUGAGAAUUAUCUGGGUCACACCUGGCCAUGCUGUCACCAAACCCCGCAGUGCGUUAUAGUCACAGUGAAGGAAGCCACCCCCACUAACCAGCCCCCAAGACCUGGCUAGCACACCAACCAGACUUUUGCAUGAGGGGGGCCAACCGCCCCCUCCCAGGCUGGACAGUUUGUACGUCCUGUCAGUCCGAUGCUCAGCCAGAGACCGUGGCCACCUCUCUUUCGGCAAGACCCAGUUUCCACAGCUCCACCCUCUCGCCCAGGAGAGCAGGACCAAAGGAGGAGGCAGGGGGACUUGAUGCCAACACGUAAAAUAAAAAGAAUUGUAAACUGCAUACUUGUGUUUUGGAUAAGAUGUCAAGAAAGCUUUCUUCAGUUAUGGAAAUUCCUUUAAAAUCAACAAAACCCCAUGGGUUGUGUUCUUUGGUGAGUUCUUCCUGUUCUUUUGCCUCCUUUUCAUUUUCACCGUAAGAAUCCAUAACCAGCCUAAAGAACAAGUCUUGCUGCAUAAUACAAGAGCAGUAGAACUAUGGGUGAUAUUAAUAAUACUGUACAUUUAUCGAGCAUUUUUCAACUUUAAAGCCCUUUAUAAAUAUUAACUAAUUAAUCCCCUUAGCAACAAAGUAGUUACUUUGCGGGCUUCUAGGCAUAUAAUUCAAGAAUGGCCUGAAUUAUAAAUCUCCCUGUGGAAUGAUUUGCCAUCUCUUUCAAAUA